GACUACAGGACCAGAACCGCGGUAUUGUGCCGGCUAAUUCUUUACUCUUGAAAGCCUUUCACUUGUCUUUUGAAGGUUUAACCUCCAGUGUAAUCACUUCUCCUUCCUUUGUGGGCCUAAAGCACAUUUACAUGUAUCACUAUGGUACUUAAAAUGUUUUAGGAUUAUCUAUAGCCCCUACAAGUGCUGUGACUGCAGGGCAGAGACUAUCAUUAAUCCCUAGGCAAGCUUCCCCUAGGGAGCAAAGUUUUUUGAAAUUUUAUUUUCAUGUUUAAUGGAUGAAUAACUGUAUAUAUUGGUAGGAUACAAAGUGAUGUUUCAGUGUAUGUAUACACUGUGGAAUAAGGAAGUCAGACUAAUUAACAUACCAUCACCUCACUUUUUUUUUUUUGUAGUGACAACAUUUUAAAGUCACUCUAACAAUUCUGAGCCAUACAUUGUUGUUGUUUGUUCUUUUUUUGUGUGGUGCUGGGGAUUAAAUCUAGGGCUUGUGCAUGGAAGGCAAGCACUCUACCACCUGAGCUACAACCCCAGCCCUAUACAUUGUUAUUAACUAUAGUCAACUUGCUGUGGAGAUCACCAGAACUUAUUCUUCCCCUCCUGAGUCUAACUGAAACUUGUACCCUUUGUACAACAAUACUCCUUUCCCUGCCCACUUUCCCCUGCCCUCAGUCUCUGGUAACCACUAUUCUUCUUUCUACUUGACUUGGACUUUUUUAGAUACCACAUACAAGUAAAAUCAUGAGACAUUUGUCUUUCUGUGCCUGGCUUAUUUCACUUAAGGUGGUAUCCUCUAGAAUCAUCUAUGUUGCAAGUGACAGCAUUUCAUUCUUUUUAAAGAUGAUUGUAUUGUUACAGUAUACAACCUUUUAAAAGUCCCAUUAAUUUAGUAACAGGCACUUAGGUUGUUUCUAAAUCUUAGCUACUGUAACACUGCAACAAACACACAUCUCUUUCGCAUAGGGAUUUCAAUUCCUUUGGAUAUAUAUUCAGAAGUGGGGUUUCGAGAUCAUAUGGCAAUUUUCUUAGUUUUUUGAGGAAUCUCCCUAUUGUUUUCCAAAAUAGCCAUACUAAUUUGCAUUACCACCACGGGUUUACAAGAGCUCCCUAUUCUCUAUAUCCUCAUCAGCAUUUUUCUUUGUUUUUUUUGUUUGUUUGUUUGUUUUUGUUUUUGUUUACUAGCCCUUCUAACAGAUUAAGGUAUCUCAUUGUGGUUUUUUUUUAAACAUUUAUUUAUGUAUCUUUAAUUUUAGGUGGAUACAUUAGUUUGUUUUUAUGUGGUGCCAAGGUUCGAACCCAGUGUCUCGUGCAUGUUAGGCGUACACUCUAUCACUGAGCCACCACUCCAGCCCUCAUUGUGGUUUUAAUUUGCAUGGGGAAUAAACAAAAAUUUUAUGUUAAGUAGAACUGGACCAUCUCUUGUGCAGUUUUGACUUGUUUCAUUGUAUCAGUAUCUCUGUCUGUGUCUGUCUCACUCCCUCUCCGUCCUUCUCUCUCCCUCCCUUCUGAAAAAGGAUUUUGACUUCACUUAAGAAAUCUGGUUGUCUCCCAAGCAGGGUAGCACAUACCUAUAAUCCCAGCAAUUUGGGAGGCGGAGGCAGGAAGAUCAGUAAGUUCAAGCCAGCCUCAGCAACUUAAUGAGACCCUGUUUCAAAAAAUAAAAAGUGUUAGGGGUAUAGCUCAAUGGCAGAGCACCCCUAGGUUCAAUCCCCAAUAUGGGAAUCAGGUGGGGGGUUGUCACAUAUACACCAAAAAUAGGUAAUUGUGCAAGGUGAUCCUAAAAGUCUUUCCUAACACUGAAACUCUGAUUCUGUGUGAUAGGGUUUUAACUCUGCCUUAUUGUAUAAACACAAAUCUACAUCUUGCAUUUUGGUAGUCAUUCUAUUUAGCAGUGUGUUUCUACCUAGAAAGAGUAUGACCAACUUGUAAGUAAAGGGGGAAAAAAAUCAGUGGAUGGGGAAGUUGUUUUAGAAAAAAGAAAAUUUCAUCCACAUCAAUUAUAGAUUAUUGAGAUUUCUGUUUUUGAAUAGGUAUCUUUAAAAAUUAGUAAGUACUCAUUGUCAAAAAAGAUGACCUAAGCCAAGGGCAGUGGCACACGCCUGUAAUCCCAGUGGCUCCAGAGGCUGAGGCAGGAGGAGCAUGAGUUCAAAGCCAGCCUCAGCAAGGGUGAAGUGCUAAGCAACUCAGUGAGACCCUGUCUCUAAAUAAAAUACAAAAUAGGGCUGGGGAUGGGGCUCAGUGGUUAAGUGCCCCUAAGUUCAAGCCCUGGUACCAAAAAAAAAAAAAAAAAAAAAAGGAUGGCUUAAAGGAAAAUAGGUUGAAAAUACAGUAAUAGGACUUGUGAACCUUACUCUGCUUUAAUAUUGAAGAUCAGGUAGUUAAAGUAAAUGAAAGCUCCCAAGGGGAAUGAUACCUCUGUCUCCUAGAUACCCCAACGUAACCACUUGGCAGAUAUACAGAGGGCUAGUAAACGAAAUGAAUGGGGAAGGAGAGGAAAUGUUAGCAUGUUGAGCUAAGUUACUAAAGGCAUGACCCGCAUUUGGAAAUAAUUUCUAAUUUGUCACUUGAAAGUCUAUACUACUGUUUGGCACUGUAAGAGAGUUACUUACUUUUUUCAUUCACAUUUUUCAGUUCCUUUGUUUGGGCGUCCUGUGAUUCUGUCACAUCUCAGUUUCAGGACUAGCAGUAUAUUUUCUCAGCUCCCGAAUCGAUCUACGUGCUUUAGAUCUUUGAUGAAAUCUAUUGGAUUUUAACAAAAGAAAACAAAUUGAUUACACAACAUGGACUGGGGGAGAAAAGGCAUUUCUUUUAAGUCUUUUUGAUGGAAAAAUGAAAUUGGGAUACAUAUGGUUUCAUUUUGAAAUAUAUAAAUGCUGCUGCUCAGACACAAAAGGGUAGGGAAGGAAUUGAAAAGUAUUUUUUUUUUCUUUUUAGAAUAUGUUGCAAUUUCUCCAAAACAGAGAGCAAAAGCAGUAAAUGCAUUCAUAUAACAGAUGCUAGAUGCUAUAUUCAUUGUGAAUUGAGGGAAGGAAUUUACAAUGUUGGGACAUGGUCUGACAAACAUAAAAAAAAAAAAAAAAAACAAGAACACUUUAAUAGCUUUGCAUUUAGAAAAAAAAUCAAACUUCUUACUGUGACCUCUAAAGCUAUUAGCAGAGCAGCCCUUUUCUGCUUCUCCUUUCUCCCCCGUCUCCUGCCCCUGUUUCUCUCACUCACUACACUAGGAUCUCACUGAGUCUGUCUGGUCAUUGCCAUUCCCUCUCACCUUAGGGCCUGUCUUCUGAUCCAGAUGCUUAAACAGCUUGUUUCCUGGCUCUUCACAUGGAUGACUUCUCAUUCAUCAAGUAUCAGCUUAAAUGAAAAAAAAAAAAAAAAAAACCCUCAGAUAUUAUAUUGUCAUAUGCCAAGAAAGUCCAUCGCAGCCCUCUUGGUAGAAACAAACAGUUAUGAAUAAUCUUAACUGCCUCAGUAAGAGAACAGAUGAGGGCUGGGGUUGUAGCUUAGUGGUAGAGCACUUACCUUGCAUGCAUGAGGCCCUGGGUUUGAUCCUCGGCACCACAUACAAAUAAAUAAAUAAAAAUAAAGAUAUUGUGUCCAUCCAUAACUAAAAAAAAUUUAAAAAAAAAGAAUGAAUGAUUAAAUUAGUAUAUUUGUACAGUGUUCAAAUGAAUUAGAGCUACUUGCACCAAUGUGAAUACAUCUAAAAACCAGUACUGGCUAGCUGCAAACCAAGCGUUUUGGGCUUACAGGAGGAUAACAAGUUCAAAGCCAGCCUCAGCGAGGCCCUAAGCAAUUUAAUGAGAUCCUGUCUCAAAAUAAAAAGGGCUGGUGAUGUGGCUCAGUGGUUAAGCACCCUUGGGUUCAAUCCCCAGUCCCAAAAUAAAACAAAUUCUGAAUGAAACAUGCAAUCUCUUUUGAUACCACUCUAUACUUUCACAGCACAUAAAACACUAUCUAUAAUAUAUUGAAGUAUAAAUCUAGAUGAGGAUAAUAUACACCACCUUCAAGAUUGUAGUUACUUCUAGGAAGGGGUAAGGGAUGAGGUGGUGCUUUAUUAGUUAGCAGUUACUAGUCAGCUAAUGGAAUUUUAAAUUAUUUUUUAUUAAUUUUAUAGUGAUACAUAAUAGUGGGAGUCAUUGUGAGAUAUUCAUCCAGGUAUAUAGCAUGAUGGGUCACUUUGAUUUCCCAGCCCUCCCCUUUUCUUCCCUGUCUCCCCUUGCUCUACUGUACUAGUCUCCCUUCUAAUUUCCUGAGACCCUCCCUUUAUUUCUUUUUUCCUCUGUAGCUUCCACAUAUGAGAAAACAUACAACUCUUGACUUUCUGAGUCUGGCUUAUUUCUCUUAACAUAUGCUGCAAUGGAUUUCUUCAAGAAAAACAUGAAGAAAAUAUGACCUUUUUGCUAUCUGUUAGAUCUGGGGAUAGAGAUAUGAUUGUUUAAUGUAUUCUGUAUGUUUCAAUAUUUUUUAAAUAUUUGAUCAUUUUAGAACAUUUAAAUUAAUGUUUGUAUUAGUAUAAUUUACACUAGCUGUCAUAACAAACUCCAGAAUCUCAAUAACUUAACACAGUUUUGAGCUCACAAAGUUCAAUAAAGAUGGGCCUAAUAGGAGGCUUUCCUCCAGGUAGAAACUUAACCAUACUGGGCAGCCAUCAUUCUAUGACCAUCAGAAUAAAUAAAUAUGUAUAUGCAUUUGUGUGUGUGUGUGUGUGUGUGUGUGUGUCUGUCUGUCUGCCUGUCUCCACUUCUCCACCCACAUUCCGUUAACCAGUUAGUCACAUGGCCCCACUCGGAGGCUAGGGAGAUGGGAAAUAGUCUGUGUACUUACAAAGGCAAAGAAAUGGUUUGAUGAACAUAUAGCAUUGUUUUUACCACAAUAUUAAAAUGAUUCCCUGUUUUUAUCCCUCAAGGCACAGCCUCUGAAAUCAAACUGCUUAGAUUCAAAUCCAGGCUCUACCACAUACUAUCUGAACUCUUUCCAUCAAGUUAUUUCACUCCUCUGGGUCUCAGUUUCCUCAUCUAUAAUAGUCAUAUACUUCAGAAGAUGAUCAUGAAGAAUAAAAGAAUUAACAUUUGCAAAGGCUUAAAACAGUGACUUAUAAAUUAUCAUUAUCAUUCUAUUUAUUCACCUAAUAAUCCAUGAAUUUUUAGAUUUUUUUUUGGGGGGGGCAUACCAGGGAUUGAACUCAGGGGCACUUAACCACUGAGCCACAUCCCCAGCCCUAUUUUGUAUUUUAUUUGAAGACAGGGUCUCACUGAGUUGGUCAGCAUUUUGAUUUUGUGGAGUCUAGCUUUGAACUCAUGAUCCUCCUGCCUCAGCCUCCCAAGCUGCCCAGAUUAUAGGUGUGCUCCACCAUGCCUGGCUUUAUCUUCUGUACUCACAUGAUUAUCUUUCUAGUAUAGCCAGCACUUAGCUUAGUACCCAUCUAUUGCCUUUGAUGAAUGAAUGGGACAAGUAUAUUCCUUCGCUGAUGUUCUAUUGUUCUUUUUAUAUUGCAUUACUUUUGUAGAAUAAGACUAAUAUAUUUAAUAUAUUUAUAUGGAAUGAAAUGCCAGGAGUUUCUUUUAAAAUACUUGAGAAAAAAUGUUGGGGGAAGUAGAUAAAAAAGAUUGGAAAAAUGUUGAUCUUGUUCUGUUUCUAUUGCGUUGACGGUUGUUCAAGUUGAUGAUAAAUACAUGGCAACUCAGGGGCUGGGGUCGGGGCUGAGCAGUAGAGCACUUGCCUAGCACGUGCGAGGCCCUGGGUUCGAUCCUCAGCACCACAUAAAAAUAAAUAAAUAAAAUAAAGGUUUAAAAAAAAAAAGAGAGAAAUAUUUUAAAAAAACAUGAAGGCUCAUAUUCUUUCUCUUCUAUAUAUUUGAGGACAUACACAGUAAAGUCUUUUGAAAACAAGACUGGGCAUGGGUAGUCAAUUAAAAGCUUAGAUCUUUUUUCUUUCCUAAUGAACAACAUUUCAUACAUAUCUACUCAGUGUUUCAGAUUUUAAAACAUUUUUGUAAUUUCUAGUGUUUAAAGCUAACAUAAAAAAGAAGACUAUAAGGAAACUUCAAUUAUAACUGCUAUGAAAGAGAUAAAGAUAUCAGAUAGUUUAACACUUUGGGUUUUAGGCAUGGAAAAGAAUGUUUCCAACGAACUCUUAAAAAACGUACCCAAAUUUAUAAUCUGUUUUCUAACUGCUAAAAUGCAACAUCUUAUAAAUAAGUGAUUCCUAAUGGGGGAAUAAAGGAAGAAGAAAAGGAGGGGCACUGUUAGAAAGGAGAAGGAGCCAGGCUUAGGGGCACACACCUGUAAUCCCUGUAAGUGGACUUCCCCCUGUAAAACCUGUAAGCGGCUCAGGAGGCUGAGGCAGGAGGGUCAAAAGUUCAAAGCCAGCCUCAGCAACUUAGCAAGGCUCUAAGCAACUCAGUGAGACCCUGUCUCUAAAUAAAAUAUUUUAAAAAGGGCUGGGGAUGUAGCUCAGUGGUUAAACCCCCAGGUUCAAUCCCUGGUACCAAAAAAAAAAAAGAGAGAGAGAGAGAGAGAGAGAAAAGGAGCCCAUUUAGGGCACAAUUAUAUUCUCUCUGAAAAAAUGAAAAUCUCAUCUUACCUUGUUCCAUCUUUGUUAGGGAAGCGACCCCCCUCAGUCUGGCAAGGAGUAAAACUGCCAUGGAUAGAUGCUGAAAGUAAACAACAAGAUGGGAGGGGCAUCAGUGAGGUGGCUCUGGUUCCCAUGUCACCAUGUCUUGUGGAGAGAUGCAGCAGACCCCCAUGGAGACCACAUGCACAGGAGUUGCACCACAGCUAAGGAGCCAAGGCCAAGGGCUGCAUAUCUUCAUUCGCAUCUGAGCGAAACAAGGCUGUUUUGGUACACACUGGGAAGGAGCAGGGUGUGAUGCAUGGCAGACAGUUCUGCGUUGUGAGGGUGUCAGGAGUGGCUGAAUAGUCCUGCUGGUGUGAGGGUAUUCAGAAUGAGGAUGGGGAUGCAGCAGGGUCUUCUUACCAACUGCAGCUGCUGCCUGACUCAAGGGACAGGGUGUCUUAUGCUGCUGCAGGGCUGGAUCUAGGGGGAAAAGAAAGCAUUAAAUACUCCCCUUCUCCAACUCCCACACCUCUUAGGGACUAAAGUAGUCCUUCCUUCCUCAGAUGCCCAGGUUCUUGUUCUUUCCAUAGCCACAUAGUCCCUUUGUUUUACGUCACUGGCCACUAUUUCUCCUCCCUUCACAAGGGCCUCUGCCACCUGCACCCACAUGGGUGAUGACUAACUGAGCACUGUGUUAGAACUUGAACAACCCAG
Molecule: long non-coding RNA, 7269 nt
Filed under: Marmota monax (woodchuck)
Lineage: Eukaryota; Metazoa; Chordata; Mammalia; Rodentia; Sciuridae
Rfam family: tRNA (bases 3490-3558)
Source: RNAcentral